AGAGUUUGAUCCUGGCUCAGAACGAACGCUGGCGGCGUGGAUAAGACAUGCAAGUCGAGCGGGAUUUUUUCCUGUAGCAAUAUAGGGAAAGGUCUAGCGGCGAACGGGUGCUUAACACGUGGGCAAUCUGCCGAGAAGUGGGGGAUAGCUCGCCGAAAGGCGAAUUAAUACCGCAUGUGAUCAGAGUGGACAUCCAUUCAAAAUUAAAGUCGGGGCAACCUGACGCUUCUUGAGGAGCCCGCGGCCUAUCAGCUAGUUGGUGAGGUAACGGCCCACCAAGGCUUUGACGGGUAGCUGGUCUGAGAGGACGACCAGCCACACUGGGACUGAGACACGGCCCAGACACCUACGGGUGGCAGCAGUCGAGAAUUUUUCUCAAUGGGGGAAACCCUGAAGGAGCGACGCCGCGUGGAGGAUGAAGGUCUUCGGAUUGUAAACUUCUGUCAUUGGGGAACAAGGUGCAUACGUUAACUGCGUGUGCAUUGAUAGUACCCGAAGAGGAAGAGACGGCUAACUCUGUGCCAGCAGCCGCGGUAAUACAGAGGUCUCAAGCGUUGUUCGGAUUCAUUGGGCGUAAAGGGUGCGUAGGCGGCGCGGUAAGUCGGGUGUGAAAUCUUGGAGCUUAACUCCGAAACUGCAUUCGAUACUGCCGUGCUUGAGGACUGGAGAGGAGACUGGAAUUUACGGUGUAGCGGUGAAAUGCGUAGAUAUCGUAAGGAAGACCAGUGGCGAAGCGGGUCUCUGGACAGUUCCUGACGCUGAGGCACGAAAGCCAGGGGAGCAAACGGGAUUAGAUACCCCGGUAGUCCUGGCAGUAAACGGUGCACGUUUGGUGUGGAGGAUUCGACCCCUUCUGCGCCGGAGCUAACGCGUUAACGUGCCGCCUGGGAAGUACGGUCGCAGAUUUAAAACUCAAAGAAAUUGACGGGGCCCGCACAGCCGUG
RNAcentral lists this ribosomal RNA (944 nucleotides) under uncultured bacterium. RNAcentral describes it as "bacterial SSU rRNA". It matches the Rfam family "Bacterial small subunit ribosomal RNA", at positions 8 to 934 of the family's 1533-position model. The record is from RNAcentral.